RNAcentral lists this ribosomal RNA (368 nucleotides) under uncultured organism. RNAcentral's name for it is "partial 16S ribosomal RNA". It matches the Rfam family "Bacterial small subunit ribosomal RNA", at positions 527 to 896 of the family's 1533-position model. The record is from RNAcentral.
GUAGGGUGCAAGCGUUAAUCGGAAUUACUGGGCGUAAAGCGUGCGCAGGCGGUUUUGUAAGUCUGUCGUGAAAGCCCGGGCUUAACCUGGGAAUUGCGAUGGAGACUGCAAGGCUUGAAUCUGGCAGAGGGGGUAGAAUUCCACGUGUAGCAGUGAAAUGCGUAGAGAUGUGGAGGAACACCGAUGGCGAAGGCAGCCCCCGUGGGUCAAGAUUGACGCUCAUGCACGAAAGCGUGGGGGGAGCAAACAGGAUUAGAUACCCUGGUAGUCCACGCCCUAAACGAUGUCUACUAGUUGUCGGGUCUUAAUUGACUUGGUAACGCAGCUAACGCGUGAAGUAGACCGCCUGGGAUACGGUCGCAAGAUUA